UCUUCCUUUCUAUCAUAGCCUGAUGUAGUUUUUCAGGUUCCUUUGGGUCCCCUUGGCUGAGAGUGGAGUCCAUUCGGUCAGCUGGGGGAAUUUAGACUUUUACUUUUGGUUUACAGGUGAAUAACAACAUCAAGAAGAAAAUGGAAGCUAUCAGAAAAGCCUCUACCAUCCCCACCACAUCUACCUGUCUACCUGUGUGUGUUCCUAAACUCCAGCUUCUCUCAUGAAAGAACUCUCCAUGCAUCUGGCUUAAGGUCAUCCCAUCCCUGAUCUCCACUUAAGAAUUAAGCUGGAGGACUUUAUCCUUAGCAAACCAAUGCAGGAACAGAAAACCAAAUGCUGCGUGUUCUCACAAAUGAAUUGGAUCUAAUGAUGAGAACACAUGGACACAAAGGCCUGUGGAUGUCUAGAGGAGACACUGUCAUUAUUUCCAAGGCAAAAGCAGAAAAAGGAGGUUGAUGCUCAGGAAGAGGUUCAUGGCUGGAGGGAGCUUGCCUUGAGACUCAAAUGAGAUUUUGAACUUUAAACGAUCGAGUUGUUGCUGAAACAGGUAAGACUUUGCAGCUAUAGGGUGAUUGUAUUUCGUACUUGAAAAAGACAUGAGUUUGAGGGGCCAGGGGCCGAAUGCUAUUGGUUUGACUGUGUCCCCUCUGAAACUUAUGUUGAAAUUGGAUUCCCAAUUUGGCAGUGUUUGGAGGUGGGCCUACUGCGAGGUGUUUGAAACAUGGGAGUACUGCCCUCAUGAAUAGAUUAAUGCUGUCUUAAAGGAGUAAGUUCUUGCUCUUGCAGAAAUUAAUUAGUUCCCAUGAGAGUGGGUUGUUAUAAGUGAGCCCAGCCUCUCAUGCGUGUCCCUUUGCACUCAUCUGCUCGCCUUACUGCUUGUCUGCUAUGUUGUGAUGUAGCACAUGGCCCUAACUAAAAGGUGAGCAGAUAACAGUAUCAUGCUCUUGGACUAGAAUUGUCACCAGAAUUGUGAAACAAAUGAAUCUAUUUUCUUUAUAAAUUACCCAGUCUCAGGGAUUCUGUUACGGCAACACAAAAUGGACAAAGACAGGAGGUAAUUAGCAUUAGAUAAGAUCCUCAGGGUAGGAACCUCAUGAGAUUGGCAGCUUUAUAAGAAGAGGAAGAGAGACCUGAGCUGGAACAUUUGCUCUGUCUUGCCACAUAAUGUCUCUUGCCAAGUCAUGACACAGCAGGAAGGCCCUCAUUAGAUACCUGUGCCAUGCUCUUGGACUUCCCAGCUUCCAGAAGAGUGAGCUAACUAAAUCUCCAUUCUUUAUAAAAUUACCCAUUCUGCAGAAUUGAAAUAUCGCAACAGACAAUAUUUUAAGACAAUUACAUCUUCAGACAAUUAAGGCAUAAUUAAAACAAUAGAAAUGUUGAACUUACAGAAUGCAGGUGGUGGGAUUAUUGAGAAGGUGCUGGUCAAAAGACAUAAAAUUUCAGCUGGAUAAACCUAGAGUUUACAAGGGUAUUGGGAAAUGGAUUUUAAAAAAAUACUUCUGGGAGAGUAAUGUUGCAGGCUUUCAAAAAAGCAGUUUGCGUUAAUUAAGGUUUUUAAUUCUGUAUACUUCUAGGGAUUUAUUCUAAGGGAAUUCAUAUGAUUCACAUACAGAUUCCAAUAUACUAAUCUCAGCAUUAUGUAUACUAAUGCAAAUUUGAAAGCAAUGAACAUUGAUUUAAUAAACUGUCACAUUCAUAUAAUACCAUGUAGGUAUUAACAUAGUAAGAAAAAAAGUAUUCUAAUAUGAAAAGCUAUAUUCAUGACAAAUUAUUAAUUUAAAAUCAAGUUAAAUGGUUUAUUUAUAAUAAUCCUUUCUUUCUCAUAUCUCUUUAUAUGCAUGUAGACAGGAUACCAAAAUGUUAGCAGUGAUAUUCUCUGGGUAGUGGGAUUAUCAAUUAUAAAUUUUCUUUUUGUAUUAUUUGUAUUUUCUAAAUUUCAUAAAAUAGGUAUUAUUUUAUAAUAAAGUUUUCUAAAAUUGCAUUGCAUAUAUCAUGUAGCUUACCCUUCUUUUUUCUUUUAAUUUCCAAUUUAUGCAUUUUCUAAUCACAAGCAAGGUCAAGAAAUUGAGAGAGAAGAGUUGGCUGAAGAAUGAGAUUCCCAAGGAAGAUCAAUAGUGAAUAAUGAUAGAAAAGUAGAAGAAAGAGUCUAAACAAAGUUAGGGUAGACAGUGAAUAUCGAUUGCUAAGUGGGAAAUCAUUGUGCUCAAGGAAAAUGGGUAUAUUAGGAGAGCCAGAGAAGGAUGAUUGAGAGUACUGAGUUCUACAUUGUAAUGGUUUUUCACAUAUUUCCUAUGUUUGACUUUACAGAAAGCAGGCAGUAGAAUAUAGCAAAGUUUCUCCAGAUAAGAUCCUGUCAACACUCAGGUGUCAUUAGCCUUAAGCUGCAUGAAGAGUAAGGCCAGUCAUACCAUUACACUAUUGCAAGGUACACCAGUCUAUGAGGGGCAUCAAAACAGUGAGAAAGCAGUAAUAAUGCAGUUGGGGCUCUACAAAUAAUUCUAGUUGUAACAUGGAAACAUGUAAUCUAAUCCUCCCUCUGCCAAAGUGGAAAUGAUAAUGAUAUUUCUUAUUUAGUAUUAUGGUUUUGAUUUAAAAAUCCCUUUGUAGGCAGCAACUAUUUCACUAGUAAAUAAAUAUGAAGGAAACAUUUAAAUAUUGUCAAUUUGUAAUUAUGCCGCAUUAUUUUUCUGCCUAAGGGCCAUAGUAGGUUGUAGUUCAUUUGUGCAUCCAAUUACAAAUCAGAAAAAGGGAUUUAACAAGAUUCCAGUAAAAACCUCCCAUGCUCAUGGAUUGAAAGAGUCAAUAUAGUUAAAAUGGCCAUACUGCCCAAAGCAAUCUACAGAUUUACUGCUAUUCCUAUCAGGCUACUAACAUCAUUUUCUAUACAAUUAGAAAUAUUAUUCUAAAAUUAGUGUAGAACUUAAAAAGACCCUGGCUUGCCAAAGCCAUCCUAUUCAAAAAGAACAAAGCUGGAGACAUCACAUUAUCACAUUACCCAACUUCAAACUAUAUUAUAAGGCUACAGUAACUAAAACAGCAUGGUACUGAUACAAAAACAGACACAUAGACCAAUGGAACAGAAUAGAGAACCCAGGAAUAAAGCUGCACACCUAUAGACAUCUGAUCUUCAACCAAGUCAACAAAAAUAAGCAGUGAAGAAAAGACUCCCUAUUCAAUAAAUGAUGGCUACGAUAGCUGGCUAGCAAUAUACAGAAUAAACCUGGACCCCUACCUAUCACUGUAUGCAAAAAUUAACUCUAGAUGGGUUAAAGAUUAAAAUAUAAGACCUCAAACUAUAGUAACUCUGGAAAACAGCCUAAGCAAUACCACCCUGAACACAGGAACUGGCAAGGAUUUCAUGAUGAAUGAAAUCAUGUCCUUUGCAGCAACAUGGAGGCAGCUAGAGACCAUUAUCCUAAGUGAAUUAACACAGGAACAGAAAACCAAAUACCACAUGUUCUCGCUUAUAAGUGGGAGCUGAACACUGGGUACAUGUGGAUAUAAAGAUGCAACAAUAGGCACUGGGGAUUACUGGGAGGAAGAAGGGGAGAUUAAGUUUCAAAGCCAACUGUUGUGUAUGCUAUGUACUACGAUUAGUACCUGGGUGAAGGAAACAAUCACAUCCCAAACCUUAGCAUCAUGCAAUAUAUCCAUGUAACAAACCUACACAUGUACCCUCUGAAUCGAAAAUAAAAGUUGGAGUUAUUAAAAAAAAAAAAAAAAAA
This is a long non-coding RNA of Homo sapiens (human), 3728 nucleotides long. RefSeq lists it as uncharacterized. The record is from RefSeq and is a predicted model, not a curated record. The transcript is spliced from 5 exons. Lineage: Eukaryota; Metazoa; Chordata; Mammalia; Primates; Hominidae.